RNAcentral lists this long non-coding RNA (1399 nucleotides) under Salmo salar (Atlantic salmon). Its description in RNAcentral is "lncRNA (ENSSSAG00000104101.1)". The record is from RNAcentral. Lineage: Eukaryota; Metazoa; Chordata; Actinopteri; Salmoniformes; Salmonidae.
CUUGGGUGUGGCCUGUAAUCAGGAAGGCCAGACACAAUAGCAGAGCACAAACUUGUUCUUGUUUUGGCCACUGCAGUUAUCACAAUUCAGGUCCACAAGUGUUUCCCCAACUCUGUAAUUGGUGAAGAAAUUCUGCUUGUUGUUGAUGACUGCGCUGCUCCUUUGCUGGAUGACAUGCCUUCAUCAAUCAAGUAGUUGACUUGUUGUGGAACUCCUUCACAGCAGACACCAAACAAGCCACACCUGCGAGGAGUUAAGGAUAGUGCACCUGCAAGCAACAAAUGAACAAUGGUCAGUGUGACAAUGGGCCAAGUAAGCUGAACAUACAAGACGGAAAGGACAUAGGACGUCUUAUUUCAUGAAAGGAGUUGGAGUCUGCCGUCAAGCUUUCAUCCAUGUUUACGGCAUCAGUAGAACACACCUGACUCUCCUUCGCCAGUCAUACAAAGAGAAUGGUCUAAUGCCUCCCUUUAAAAAGACAGCUGGCCCAAGCAAGCACGGGUUACACCUGAAGCAUGAGGACUUGCAGCGAGUGGUAAACUUCAACAACAACUACGCAGAGGAUAAUGCAAUAAAUAGUAUUACCAGGACGCCACCCAGGACACAAACACUUUGGUGGAAAGCUGCUCGCAUCCCAUGUGACAAGCAACAGUGUGGCGUCUCUACAAGGAAUCGAUGACAACACUUAAAGCUGUUAAGUAAGCCAAGGAAAAUAAGCAUCUCCUGCUUGUUCAGAGUGAGCAGUCUGUCUACCAGAAGAUGGUUACUGACUGCAAGACCACCUGUCAAGACCUGCAGUUGUCUCAGGGGGCCCCUACUGAACCAGCAAGCAAAGACAUCAGGAUGCAUUACAGCUUGCAUUUUGCUCUACAAUUCCAGGUUGGAUGGUGUUUUAAUCUGGAGUGAAGGGUAUGCUGUGGAGGGUAUGCUGUGGCAGACUUCAGAGACUCUCGGGUGAAUUCGGGUAGCCUUGGGUUCUCUCGGCAACGGAGCCGUUGGGGACUUCUGGGAUGUCUCGGAGGUGAGGUGGAAGCCUUGGGCGGGCGAGUGAAAUCAAACCUUCUCUCCUUCCUUCACUCUUGUAGUUGACCAUUCGAUCCGAAUGGUCAAGGGGUUGAACGAGUCGAGAUCCGUCCGUAGUUCCCGGUCAGGAAGCUCAUCCUUUACUUCGUCCGAUAAUCCGUGCAGGAACAUGUCAAACAAUGCUUCCUGGUUCCAGACACUCUCAGCCAACCAAAGUGCGAAAAUCCAACACGUAGUCUCCCACACUUGUCUUGAUGUAGCUGGAGCAGCUUACAAGCAGCCGUUCUCCCGGACAAUGGAGAAUCGAACUUCCUCCACGAACUCCUCCAGACUGAGGCAGAUGGCAGACUGUUGCUCCACACUGCCGUGACCCAGG